RNAcentral lists this ribosomal RNA (497 nucleotides) under uncultured bacterium. RNAcentral's name for it is "partial 16S ribosomal RNA". It matches the Rfam family "Bacterial small subunit ribosomal RNA", at positions 28 to 507 of the family's 1533-position model. The record is from RNAcentral.
GAUGAACGCUGGCGGCGUGCCUAAUACAUGCAAGUCGAGCGAACAGACGAGGAGCUUGCUCCUCUGACGUUAGCGGCGGACGGGUGAGUAACACGUGGAUAACCUACCUAUAAGACUGGGAUAACUUCGGGAAACCGGAGCUAAUACCGGAUAAUAUAUUGAACCGCAUGGUUCAAUAGUGAAAGACGGUUUUGCUGUCACUUAUAGAUGGAUCCGCGCCGCAUUAGCUAGUUGGUAAGGUAACGGCUUACCAAGGCAACGAUGCGUAGCCGACCUGAGAGGGUGAUCGGCCACACUGGAACGGAGACACGGUCCAGACUCCUACGGGAGGCAGCAGUAGGGAAUCUUCCGCAAUGGGCGAAAGCCUGACGGCGCAACGCCGCGUGAGUGAUGAAGGUCUUCGGAUCGUAAAACUCUGUUAUUAGGGAAGAACAAAUUGGUAAGUAACUAUGCACGUCUUGACGGUGACUAAUCAGAAAGCCACGGCUAACUACGUG